This is a non-coding RNA of Cinara cedri, 502 nucleotides long. The record is from the annotation of a GenBank genome assembly. Lineage: Eukaryota; Metazoa; Arthropoda; Insecta; Hemiptera; Aphididae.
GAGAAAUGGGGAAAACACGGGAAAACCGGGAGAACAGGAAAAUACAUAUAAUAUUAAACAAAUAUUUGAUAUUAAAGAAAAUGUUAAAUACAUACGUUGUAUAUUUUACCAUAAUAUGGCAUUAUUACAUGUUGUUGACAAAGCAACACUAUCAACUGAACUCCGCUCAGAAUCGUUUUCUCGGUAGCAAUGGUUAAUCGUUGCUUACAGAUAUACGUUCAAUUUCCAUCUAUAUAUUACAUUCCCAACUUCCCGUCUAUAACAGUGGCUUGUUCAUCGUGCUAAAUCGACCGGAUUUUUUUUCCCUCGUUUGCCGAGGUAUUACUGAAGCAACACAAAUUAGAAUCGUUCAGUGUGUAAUCAGCUUAAAACAAAUUCCAAAACGAUAUUAUUUACUCGAAACGGCGUAAUCCAUUCGGAAAAUUUUACGGAAAAUCAAUCGACGAUUAAUUAGUACUUUUAUCGAAUUUCCAAUUACGACGCGGCUCGAAUACUUGUUCGC